This 496-nucleotide ribosomal RNA is filed under the name uncultured bacterium. RNAcentral describes it as "partial 16S ribosomal RNA". It matches the Rfam family "Bacterial small subunit ribosomal RNA", at positions 29 to 523 of the family's 1533-position model. The record is from RNAcentral.
AUUGAACGCUGGCGGCAUGCUUUACACAUGCAAGUCGAACGGUAGAGGGGGCAACCCCUUGAGAGUGGCGAACGGGUGAGUAAUGCAUCGGAAAGUGCCCAGUCGUGGGGGAUAGCGCAGCGAAAGCUGUGCUAAUACCGCAUACGAUCUCUGGAUGAAAGCGGGGGACCGAAAGGCCUCGCGCGAUUGGAGCGGACGAUGUCAGACUAGGUAGUUGGUGGGGUAAAGGGCUACAAAGCCAACGAUCUGUAGCUGGUCGGAGAGGACGACCAGCCACACUGGGACUGAGACACGGCCCAGACUCCUACGGGAGGCAGCAGUGAGAAAUUUUGGACAAUGGGCGCAAGCCUGAUCCAGCAAUGCCGCGUGCAGGAAGAAGGCCUUCGGGUUGUAAACUGCUUUUGUACGGAACGAAACGGUCUGGGUUAAUACCCUGGGCUAAUGACGGUACCGUAAGAAUAAGCACCGGCUAACUACGUGCCAGCCGCCGCCGUAA